Molecule: ribosomal RNA, 2204 nt
Filed under: Shigella flexneri
Lineage: Bacteria; Pseudomonadati; Pseudomonadota; Gammaproteobacteria; Enterobacterales; Enterobacteriaceae
Description: partial 23S ribosomal RNA
Rfam family: Bacterial large subunit ribosomal RNA
Source: RNAcentral
GUAACACUAACUGGAGGACCGAACCGACUAAUGUUGAAAAAUUAGCGGAUGACUUGUGGCUGGGGGUGAAAGGCCAAUCAAACCGGGAGAUAGCUGGUUCUCCCCGAAAGCUAUUUAGGUAGCGCCUCGUGAAUUCAUCUCCGGGGGUAGAGCACUGUUUCGGCAAGGGGGUCAUCCCGACUUACCAACCCGAUGCAAACUGCGAAUACCGGAGAAUGUUAUCACGGGAGACACACGGCGGGUGCUAACGUCCGUCGUGAAGAGGGAAACAACCCAGACCGCCAGCUAAGGUCCCAAAGUCAUGGUUAAGUGGGAAACGAUGUGGGAAGGCCCAGACAGCCAGGAUGUUGGCUUAGAAGCAGCCAUCAUUUAAAGAAAGCGUAAUAGCUCACUGGUCGAGUCGGCCUGCGCGGAAGAUGUAACGGGGCUAAACCAUGCACCGAAGCUGCGGCAGCGACGCUUAUGCGUUGUUGGGUAGGGGAGCGUUCUGUAAGCCUGUGAAGGUGUGCUGUGAGGUAUGCUGGAGGUAUCAGAAGUGCGAAUGCUGACAUAAGUAACGAUAAAGCGGGUGAAAAGCCCGCUCGCCGGAAGACCAAGGGUUCCUGUCCAACGUUAAUCGGGGCAGGGUGAGUCGACCCCUAAGGCGAGGCCGAAAGGCGUAGUCGAUGGGAAACAGGUUAAUAUUCCUGUACUUGGUGUUACUGCGAAGGGGGGACGGAGAAGGCUAUGUUGGCCGGGCGACGGUUGUCCCGGUUUAAGCGUGUAGGCUGGUUUUCCAGGCAAAUCCGGAAAAUCAAGGCCGAGGCGUGAUGACGAGGCACUACGGUGCUGAAGCAACAAAUGCCCUGCUUCCAGGAAAAGCCUCUAAGCAUCAGGUAACAUCAAAUCGUACCCCAAACCGACACAGGUGGUCAGGUAGAGAAUACCAAGGCGCUUGAGAGAACUCGGGUGAAGGAACUAGGCAAAAUGGUGCCGUAACUUCGGGAGAAGGCACGCUGAUACGUAGGUGAAGCGACUUGCUCGUGGAGCUGAAAUCAGUCGAAGAUACCAGCUGGCUGCAACUGUUUAUUAAAAACACAGCACUGUGCAAACACGAAAGUGGACGUAUACGGUGUGACGCCUGCCCGGUGCCGGAAGGUUAAUUGAUGGGGUUAGCGCAAGCGAAGCUCUUGAUCGAAGCCCCGGUAAACGGCGGCCGUAACUAUAACGGUCCUAAGGUAGCGAAAUUCCUUGUCGGGUAAGUUCCGACCUGCACGAAUGGCGUAAUGAUGGCCAGGCUGUCUCCACCCGAGACUCAGUGAAAUUGAACUCGCUGUGAAGAUGCAGUGUACCCGCGGCAAGACGGAAAGACCCCGUGAACCUUUACUAUAGCUUGACACUGAACAUUGAGCCUUGAUGUGUAGGAUAGGUGGGAGGCUUUGAAGUGUGGACGCCAGUCUGCAUGGAGCCGACCUUGAAAUACCACCCUUUAAUGUUUGAUGUUCUAACGUGGACCCGUGAUCCGGGUUGCGGACAGUGUCUGGUGGGUAGUUUGACUGGGGCGGUCUCCUCCUAAAGAGUAACGGAGGAGCACGAAGGUUGGCUAAUCCUGGUCGGACAUCAGGAGGUUAGUGCAAUGGCAUAAGCCAGCUUGACUGCGAGCGUGACGGCGCGAGCAGGUGCGAAAGCAGGUCAUAGUGAUCCGGUGGUUCUGAAUGGAAGGGCCAUCGCUCAACGGAUAAAAGGUACUCCGGGGAUAACAGGCUGAUACCGCCCAAGAGUUCAUAUCGACGGCGGUGUUUGGCACCUCGAUGUCGGCUCAUCACAUCCUGGGGCUGAAGUAGGUCCCAAGGGUAUGGCUGUUCGCCAUUUAAAGUGGUACGCGAGCUGGGUUUAGAACGUCGUGAGACAGUUCGGUCCCUAUCUGCCGUGGGCGCUGGAGAACUGAGGGGGGCUGCUCCUAGUACGAGAGGACCGGAGUGGACGCAUCACUGGUGUUCGGGUUGUCAUGCCAAUGGCACUGCCCGGUAGCUAAAUGCGGAAGAGAUAAGUGCUGAAAGCAUCUAAGCACGAAACUUGCCCCGAGAUGAGUUCUCCCUGACCCUUUAAGGGUCCUGAAGGAACGUUGAAGACGACGACGUUGAUAGGCCGGGUGUGUAAGCGCAGCGAUGCGUUGAGCUAACCGGUACUAAUGAACCGUGAGGCUUAACCUUACAACGCCGAAG